This 575-nucleotide ribosomal RNA is filed under the name Aspergillus fumigatus. RNAcentral's name for it is "eukaryotic LSU rRNA". The stretch from base 205 to 358 matches the Rfam family "5.8S ribosomal RNA". The record is from RNAcentral. Lineage: Eukaryota; Fungi; Ascomycota; Eurotiomycetes; Eurotiales; Aspergillaceae.
ACCUGCGGAAGGAUCAUUACCGAGUGAGGGCCCUCUGGGUCCAACCUCCCACCCGUGUCUAUCGUACCUUGUUGCUUCGGCGGGCCCGCCGUUUCGACGGCCGCCGGGGAGGCCUUGCGCCCCCGGGCCCGCGCCCGCCGAAGACCCCAACAUGAACGCUGUUCUGAAAGUAUGCAGUCUGAGUUGAUUAUCGUAAUCAGUUAAAACUUUCAACAACGGAUCUCUUGGUUCCGGCAUCGAUGAAGAACGCAGCGAAAUGCGAUAAGUAAUGUGAAUUGCAGAAUUCAGUGAAUCAUCGAGUCUUUGAACGCACAUUGCGCCCCCUGGUAUUCCGGGGGGCAUGCCUGUCCGAGCGUCAUUGCUGCCCUCAAGCACGGCUUGUGUGUUGGGCCCCCGUCCCCCUCUCCCGGGGGACGGGCCCGAAAGGCAGCGGCGGCACCGCGUCCGGUCCUCGAGCGUAUGGGGCUUUGUCACCUGCUCUGUAGGCCCGGCCGGCGCCAGCCGACACCCAACUUUAUUUUUCUAAGGUUGACCUCGGAUCAGGUAGGGAUACCCGCUGAACUUAAGCAUAUCUA